This 530-nucleotide ribosomal RNA is filed under the name uncultured bacterium. RNAcentral describes it as "bacterial SSU rRNA". It matches the Rfam family "Bacterial small subunit ribosomal RNA", at positions 8 to 526 of the family's 1533-position model. The record is from RNAcentral.
AGAGUUUGAUCAUGGCUCAGAUUGAACGCUGGCGGCAGGCCUAACACAUGCAAGUCGAACGGUAGCACAGAGGAGCUUGCUCCUUGGGUGACGAGUGGCGGACGGGUGAGUAACACGUGGGCAACCUGCCCAACAGAGGGGGAUAACACAUGGAAACAGGUGCUAAUACCGCAUAACGUCGCAAGACCAAAGAGGGGGACCUUCGGGCCUCUUGCCAUCGGAUGUGCCCAGAUGGGAUUAGCUAGUAGGUGGGGUAACGGCUCACCUAGGCGACGAUCCCUAGCUGGUCUGAGAGGAUGAUCAGCCACACUGGAACUGAGACACGGUCCAGACUCCUACGGGAGGCAGCAGUGGGGAAUAUUGCACAAUGGGGGAAACCCUGAUGCAGCCAUGCCGCGUGUGUGAAGAAGGCCUUCGGGUUGUAAAGCACUUUCAGCGAGGAGGAAGGCAUUAAGGUUAAUAACCUUAGUGAUUGACGUUACUCGCAGAAGAAGCACCGGCUAACUCCGUGCCAGCCGCCGCGGUAAUAC